CAAGACGAGAAAAAAAAGAUUGCACUCUAUUGACUCGAGAAGAGAUUGAAAAUCCAUAAAUAUGUGCUCAAAUUUGUGUUCAGAAAAUAGUAGAAUUGGCCAAGGAGAUUACGACAAUUUACCAGGUUUUAGAUCCAAUGUUCGCUUACUUUGAUAAUGGGAAGCACUGGGCUCCUCGGCAGGGGUUAGCUAUGGCUGUGUUCUGUCUGAUAUGUGCUACUUUAUGGACACUGCAGGAAAUGAGCAGUUGAUUCUAGCUGCUGUCAUUCGACAUCUAGAUCACAAAAAUGUUGCACAUGAUCCGCAAAUUAAAUCUGAUAUUGUUCAGAUUGCUAAGGCUUUGGCUCGACAACUCAGAACACGAGCUGUAGUCUCUGAAAUUGGGAUUAUC
Telopea speciosissima is the source of this 391-nucleotide long non-coding RNA. RefSeq lists it as uncharacterized. The record is from RefSeq and is a predicted model, not a curated record. The transcript has 3 exons. Lineage: Eukaryota; Viridiplantae; Streptophyta; Magnoliopsida; Proteales; Proteaceae.